UCUUGUAGGCCUUGAGGACCAGGAGGAUUAGCACUGCUUUCCCGUGAUAGGUUUACGGUUAAACUACAGGCUUUGCCUAUUCAGGUUGAUCAGUUGGUGCAGACGAGGCUGAGUUGAGGCUAAGUACCACGAUGUCUUUUGCUUCCGCUAAUGACUAGCUUAUCAUCUCGUCUUUUAAAUUCUCUAAAUUGAGAAUUUCUAUUGUGGGGUACAAUAUCAUCUCGUUGUGUUUAAACUCUUAUCCUAUAUAUUUUAAUGAAGCUAUCAUUGAUUAAGAUCAGAGUCACGGAACUAAACUUAUGUGAUCCUGAGUUUGAAUAUUGUCAUUUGAUUG
Long non-coding RNA from Salvia miltiorrhiza (redroot sage), 334 nucleotides. RefSeq lists it as uncharacterized. The transcript has 2 exons. NCBI's taxonomy places the organism in Eukaryota, Viridiplantae, Streptophyta, Magnoliopsida, Lamiales, Lamiaceae. The record is from RefSeq and is a predicted model, not a curated record.